AUGGGUUUUGUAUAUUGUUGAAGAUCAUAUGAUGACCCGUAGUUUCUAAUUUCUUAUUUUUAUGACAACGAACAACAAAUGAGGCAAUUCAACAUUCUGGAUUAAAGCAGCUUGGCGAUCAUAACCCAAACUAUUUUUCUUAAACCUAGACCAGAGGUCGUAAAAUAAAAAACGAGCGAAUACGACGACGAAUAACUGACCAAAAAAUGACAAUAACCCGUUUAAG
Molecule: long non-coding RNA, 226 nt
Filed under: Mytilus galloprovincialis (Mediterranean mussel)
Lineage: Eukaryota; Metazoa; Mollusca; Bivalvia; Mytilida; Mytilidae
Source: RNAcentral